AUGGCCACAAAGCUUGUGGUUUUUGGGCUCCCCUGGGAUGUGGACAGCGAAGGAUUACGAAAGCAUAUGGCCAAGUUUGGACCCCUGGAAGAUUGUAUUGUCAUGAAGGAUCGCUUUUCCGGUCGAUCUCGUGGGUUUGGCUACAUAACGUUCUCAUCGGCUGAUGACGUCAAGAAUGUUCUUGAGUGUGAACAUUUUCUUGGGAACCGACCUCUAGAAGUGAAGAUAGCAAUUCCCAGGGAAGAACUGAAAGCACAGCCACCGGGAACAAAAACAGCUACUAGGAUAUUUGUUGGUCGAAUUCCGCAAUCUGCAGAUGAGUCAAUGUUCCGUAGGCAUUUUGAAGCAUUUGGAGAAAUUAUCGAUCUUUACAUGCCAAAGGAACAUGGUUCAAAAGGUCAUCGUGGAAUUGGGUUUAUCACUUUUCAGAGAGCAGAAUCUGUAGACAGUAUCAUGCAAGAGUCGCAUGAGUUGGAUGGAACAACUCUACAUGUUGACCGUGCAACUCCAAAGCAUCAGGAUGAAGAUAUCAGACACCCUCCAAGCAGGACAUCUCAGGAUGGGGGCGACUAUGGCCUUGGCUAUGGUGCAUAUGAUGUAUACAUUGCAGCUGCAACCAUGUUUGGAGCUUUGGGCCCACCAACACGGUAUGAUCAUCCAGGAUCAGCUUAUGGAAGAGGAUACUCUGGAUCCCCUCCAGAAACGGGCAAAAAGAUAUUUGUUGGCGGGAUUCCACAAGAAGCAAACAAAGAUGACCUAAGGAAUUACUUUGGCGGAUUUGGCCGGGUCGCAAAUGUGUUUAUUCCAAGGGAUCCUAAAGGAAGUGGCCAUCGAACUUUUGGUUUUGUCACCUUUUCUGAUGAGGGUGUGGCAGAUAAGGUAGCUGACAAAAGCCAUGAAAUUCUUGGAUGUAAGGUCACAGUAGACAUAGCUGCACCGCCUAGGGGUGAUUCCAGUGGUCGUUUCGCUGACCCCAUGCCCGGCGUGGACCUUCAUGCACCACCUUACGGCUCAAUGCGGCCUUUCGGCAUGUUCUGCGGCAACCUGGGUUAUGACCGAGGCUAUGGUCCCGGCGGAGGCGGCAGCAGAUCGAGAACGGAUGGGCGGCAUCGACCUUACUGA
Molecule: ribosomal RNA, 1122 nt
Filed under: Triticum aestivum (bread wheat)
Lineage: Eukaryota; Viridiplantae; Streptophyta; Magnoliopsida; Poales; Poaceae
Description: partial small subunit ribosomal RNA
Source: RNAcentral